GGGGGGAGCAAGCGUUGUUCGGAAUCACUGGGCGUAAAGGGCGUGUAGGCGGUUCGGUAAGUGGAAUGUGAAAUGCCCCGGCUCACCCGGGGACCUGCAUCCCAAACUGCCGAGCUUGAGUAUGGGAGAGGAUGAGGGAAUUCCUGGUGUAGCGGUGAAAUGCGUAGAUAUCAGGAGGAACACCGGUGGCGAAGGCGCUCAUCUGGCCCAAUACUGACGCUGAGGCGCGAAAGCUAGGGGAGCAAACGGGAUUAGAUACCCCGGUAGUCCUAGCCGUAAACGGUGAUCACUAGGUGUUGGAGGCAUCGACCCCUCCAGUGCCGCAGCUAACGCAUUAAGUGAUCCGCCUGGGGAGUACGGCCGCAAGGUUGAA
RNAcentral lists this ribosomal RNA (373 nucleotides) under uncultured bacterium. RNAcentral describes it as "bacterial SSU rRNA". It matches the Rfam family "Bacterial small subunit ribosomal RNA", at positions 527 to 898 of the family's 1533-position model. The record is from RNAcentral.